UACGUAGGGUGCGAGCGUUAAUCGGAAUUACUGGGCGUAAAGCGUGCGCAGGCGGUUCGUUAAGUUCGAUGUGAAAGCCCCGGGCUCAACCUGGGAACUGCAUUGGAAACUGGCGAGCUUGAGUGUGGCAGAGGAAGGUGGAAUUCCACGUGUAGCGGUGAAAUGCGUAGAGAUGUGGAGGAACACCGAUGGCGAAGGCAGCCUUCUGGGCCAACACUGACGCUCAUGCACGAAAGCGUGGGGAGCAAACAGG
RNAcentral lists this ribosomal RNA (253 nucleotides) under uncultured bacterium. Its description in RNAcentral is "partial 16S ribosomal RNA". It matches the Rfam family "Bacterial small subunit ribosomal RNA", at positions 524 to 776 of the family's 1533-position model. The record is from RNAcentral.